GCACUCGUGAUGACGUCAUUUUAAUCACGUCACGUACUUCGGAGCCUUCUACCACUCUAGAAGACUAUUCAAUAAGAAAUGUCAGGGCCGUGGUGAAUUGUGCGAAAGAAACCGUGACUGCUGUCUGAACAGAAAUUGUUACAAGAAAGGCAAUGAUCUGGUCAGCAAUCCAGUGAAACAGUUCUUUUCUUCAGCUCAGGAUUGAAGCAUAAUAAACCGGCUGUAACGGGUCCGGUUUACAUUCUUGUACUCUGUUUUCUUGAUUUCUUAUCUGAAUAAAACACACUCUGAAAGCAA
This is a long non-coding RNA of Gigantopelta aegis, 297 nucleotides long. RefSeq lists it as uncharacterized. The transcript has 2 exons. Lineage: Eukaryota; Metazoa; Mollusca; Gastropoda; Neomphalida; Peltospiridae. The record is from RefSeq and is a predicted model, not a curated record.